RNAcentral lists this ribosomal RNA (1161 nucleotides) under Escherichia coli. Its description in RNAcentral is "partial 23S ribosomal RNA". It matches the Rfam family "Bacterial large subunit ribosomal RNA", at positions 361 to 1529 of the family's 2925-position model. The record is from RNAcentral. Lineage: Bacteria; Pseudomonadati; Pseudomonadota; Gammaproteobacteria; Enterobacterales; Enterobacteriaceae.
AGGGUGACAGCCCCGUACACAAAAAUGCACAUGCUGUGAGCUCGAUGAGUAGGGCGGGACACGUGGUAUCCUGUCUGAAUAUGGGGGGACCAUCCUCCAAGGCUAAAUACUCCUGACUGACCGAUAGUGAACCAGUACCGUGAGGGAAAGGCGAAAAGAACCCCGGCGAGGGGAGUGAAAAAGAACCUGAAACCGUGUACGUACAAGCAGUGGGAGCACGCUUAGGCGUGUGACUGCGUACCUUUUGUAUAAUGGGUCAGCGACUUAUAUUCUGUAGCAAGGUUAACCGAAUAGGGGAGCCGAAGGGAAACCGAGUCUUAACUGGGCGUUAAGUUGCAGGGUAUAGACCCGAAACCCGGUGAUCUAGCCAUGGGCAGGUUGAAGGUUGGGUAACACUAACUGGAGGACCGAACCGACUAAUGUUGAAAAAUUAGCGGAUGACUUGUGGCUGGGGGUGAAAGGCCAAUCAAACCGGGAGAUAGCUGGUUCUCCCCGAAAGCUAUUUAGGUAGCGCCUCGUGAAUUCAUCUCCGGGGGUAGAGCACUGUUUCGGCAAGGGGGUCAUCCCGACUUACCAACCCGAUGCAAACUGCGAAUACCGGAGAAUGUUAUCACGGGAGACACACGGCGGGUGCUAACGUCCGUCGUGAAGAGGGAAACAACCCAGACCGCCAGCUAAGGUCCCAAAGUCAUGGUUAAGUGGGAAACGAUGUGGGAAGGCCCAGACAGCCAGGAUGUUGGCUUAGAAGCAGCCAUCAUUUAAAGAAAGCGUAAUAGCUCACUGGUCGAGUCGGCCUGCGCGGAAGAUGUAACGGGGCUAAACCAUGCACCGAAGCUGCGGCAGCGACGCUGAUGCGUUGUUGGGUAGGGGAGCGUUCUGUAAGCCUGCGAAGGUGUGCUGUGAGGCAUGCUGGAGGUAUCAGAAGUGCGAAUGCUGACAUAAGUAACGAUAAAGCGGGUGAAAAGCCCGCUCGCCGGAAGACCAAGGGUUCCUGUCCAACGUUAAUCGGGGCAGGGUGAGUCGACCCCUAAGGCGAGGCCGAAAGGCGUAGUCGAUGGGAAACAGGUUAAUAUUCCUGUACUUGGUGUUACUGCGAAGGGGGGACGGAGAAGGCUAUGUUGGCCGGGCGACGGUUGUCCCGGUUUAAGCGUGUAGGCUGGU